RNAcentral lists this long non-coding RNA (1078 nucleotides) under Zonotrichia albicollis (white-throated sparrow). Its description in RNAcentral is "lncRNA (ENSZALG00000009176.1)". The record is from RNAcentral. Lineage: Eukaryota; Metazoa; Chordata; Aves; Passeriformes; Passerellidae.
CUCUCAGCAGGCUGACGUCAGCCCCUCCCCAGCAGCCAGAACAAGGCUCGGGAUUGUUUCGGCCCGGGAGAGCUCCCCGAGGAUUAAAGGCUUGGUGAAAUGCAGAGCACGGCACGGCGAGAGCAGCACCAGGCCUCCAUCCAUCAUCCAUCCAUCCUGCCAUCCAUCCAUCAUCCAUCCAUUAUCCAUCCAUCCAUCAUCUAUCCAUCCAUCAUCCAUCCAUCAUCCAUCCAUCCAUCAUCCAUCCAUCCAUCAUCCAUCCAUCAUCCUUCCAUCCAUCAUCCAUCCAUCAUCCAUCCAUCCAUCAUCCAUCCAUCAUCCAUCCAUCAUCCAUCCAUCCAUCCAUCAUCCAUCCACCCAUCCAUCCAUCCAUCCAUCCAUCCCUGCUUUGCCCACGGAAGGUGAUGGGGAGGACUCCAAAACCCAGCACAGCCUGGGCUCAAUCCAUGCUCCAAACCCAGCACAGCUCGGGCUCAAUCCAGGCUCCAAACUGGCACAGCCUGGGCAUGAUUUGGGCUCCAAACCCGGCACAGCCCGAGAUCCAUCCAUGCUCCAAACCUGGCACAGCCCAGGCUCAAUCCAUGCUCCAAACCCGGCACAGCCCAGGCUCGAUCGGUGCUCCAAACCCGGCACAGCCCGAGAUCCAUCCAUGCUCCAAACCCAGCACAGCCCAGGCUCGAUCCGUGCUCCAAACCUAGCACAGCCCAGGCUCAGUCCAGGCUCCAAAUCCGGCACAGCCCAGGCUCGAUCCAUGCUCCAAAUCCGGCACAGCCUGGGCAUGAUUUGGGCUCCAAACCCGGCACAACCCAGGCUUGGUCCGAGCUCCAAACCUGGCACAGCCCAGGCUCAAUCCGUGCUCCAAACCCGGCACAGCCUGAGAUCCAUCCAGGCUCCAAACCCGGCACAGCCCAGGCUCGAUCCAUGCCAGAGCCGCGCUGGGGACAGAGCUGCACCAUCUGCUUCCAGUAACAUUUAUCCAUUGGUGAGCUCUUGAAUUCCAUUUCCUUUGGUUCCCCCUCAACUGGGGUGUCCCAGAGCCCCCAUUCACGGCACAGCCAGGGUGAAACCUCCACUGUCC